CUGCCCUGCAGGACUGCGCGCCAGAGCGCGUUCCGCGGCCCCGCCGCCGGGAGGAGGUACCCACCCACUCGCGGCGCGCGACGGACCCCGUCUCGGCCUGUGGGCGAUUUCCUCUGGACCCGGGCUCCCCGCCCGAGGAGGAAGAUGCAGACCUUUUUGAAAGGGAAGAGAGUCGGCUACUGGCUGAGCGAGAAGAAAAUCAAGAAGCUCAAUUUCCAGGCCUUCGCCGAGCUGUGCAGGAAACGAGGCAUAGAGGUCGUCCAGGGUGCAUCUGCCUGCAGCUGCUGGGGACCAGAUCAGGGCCGACGAGGAGCCUUCUGACAAGCAUCUGAGGUGGUUUCCAGAAAGCCUGCUGCAGUGCUCUCAGGACCAGAGCACCAGAGUGGGGUGGUGGUGGGGUGGGGAGGUAUCUCUGGGGAGCCGUUGCUGGAUCCUUCCUUAUGGCUUCCUGCUGGUGGUUUGAGGGUUGAACCUGUCACCAGGGGCUGAGGUUUCUUUUGGGGUUCUUCUUGGCUCUGCAGAGUUCCAUGACCUGCACUGACCUUUUCUAUGGAGCUUGAUUUCUCCAUCCAUCCACUGGGGACAGUUGGGCCUGAGGAAUGGCUAAGAAGGGUGCUUCCAGGGCACUCCCAGGUAGUUUGGUUGCGGCUAUCUGGGGGAUUCUGUGAUUGAAUGAGAAUCAGGGCUGCCAAGGGCCCAGGGAGUGCAGGUUCACUGCAGGAUUGGUGAUCUCUCAGGCCACUUCCACUGCAGGAUGCUGGGGCAAUGGUUUCAGUGGUUGCCUUGGAAAUCCUCAUUCUUUGCAGAAGCCAGUUACUGGCUGGCAAGCCCUUGGCUGGGAGUUGGUGCUCACUGUGUGUGUGUGAAAUCACAGCUUCCUUGCAGUCCGCUGCAGCCGCUGGUGAGGGUCCCCAGGAACUGCUCCUGCGAUCUGUUUCUGAGGAUGUGUGUUCCUGUGUGCAUAGCAGACACCCUGCAAGACUGAGAAAGAGGCACUCUUCCCUCAAACCGAUUCCACACUGGAACACAGGAGGGCAGCCAGGGGGUUGAAAGCUUGGUUCAGUCAGGGUGGAGUUGGGGACAGGAGCCCUUGUUUACAGCAUGCCGUGCAGAACUCUAAAAUCUUUUGAGCUGUUUCUGCUGUUCAUUUUGAUGAUUGCUGGGGGGGCGGAAGUGUCUGGGGACCGGAGUGAUGCCAAACUGGAUGCUUUCCACCCCAGCAUCUAAAAAUAAAGCCCAUCAUGAUGCCUCCUCAUGCACCUCCUCCUGGCAUCCCUCAUCCUUUGGAGAACUUUUACAUUUUAAGACAUGGAGAAAGGCUCUUUGUGAAAAUCGGAAGCCAAACCACUUGGCUGCUUUUUAAAAAUCAUCUGGGCUUCUGUGUGCCAGAUCCCAGGCUGUGGCCCCUGGAAGCUGGAGUUGGGUGCUUUGCCAGUCACUGGGUUCAGACGUUUGUGAGUGUAAGGGCAAGCUGACCACGCACAGCCACCCCCAGCCCUCCGUCAGAUACCCCGUCCCAUUCUGUGCAGCCCCCCGGGGAUGUGGGUGAAGGUGUAUCUUGCCUGAAGAUGUGGAAAUGGGCUUAGCAUGAUGUGAGCAGGCCUGCUGGUCAGUGGGAGAGUUGAGAGUUGAGGGUGGGUUUGCAGUGUUGGGCUGCCGUGUGGGUAGGCAUGCUGUUGGCUACAGCCCUCCCUGCCUAGCAUUACUGGCCUUUUGCUACUGACUAAACAGAUGGUGUGGCCUGGGCUUAAGACCCAAGACUGUGAAAGCCUGGUUGAUCCUGUGGUGUUUGUCCAGGUCACGGGAGUCAUUUUUCUUCCUGCUGUGGAAUAGCAGCAGUACCAGUCUUAACAUUUAUGGGGUCUGCCAUGUACCUGUACCACACAUUGACACCAUUUACUGUAGAGGAGCAUUUGUGUGUAAACUUUUCCAGAUGGAGGCGGGAGCAUAUAUAUGAAAGUGAAAUUUGUAGGUCCUCAGCUUCCUCGUGUGCUGGUCUGUCUCCACAGCUGGUAUGCUGGGGAAGGAGCUGUACACUCUCCUUCCUGUCUCCCCAGCUGCCCCUUCCAUGUUGUUCCUUUGUAUGGACAGUGUGCACAGUGAUGGGAAAGACCACCUGGGUUCAGGUCCCUGGCUGUGUGAUGAUGUGCCAGCUGUGUCUAAGCACUCUGCAUGUCAGUCUGCCCACCUGUAAAAUGGGCACUGUUGUAGUGGCUGUUCCCCCAGGAUUGUUGUGAAGACUGAGUUAAUUCAGGUAAUGGAGUUGGCCCAAGCAUGGCACAUGGAGGCUGGUGAUCUGCAGAACCACACCCUGUCACUGUCCACAGGAGACCUGAACCUCUGUGUGGACCACAGGGCACUGGGCCCUCCAGGUGUUAGAGAAGGUGGCCAGUCCUCGUAAUCCUGAGCCAGGGAGCUAUUUCUGCUUCUGUGCUUGCACCACAACUGAAAGACAACCUGAUCAAGCUGUCCACUGAUGUCAUGUUAGAAAUGAUUUUUGACGGCUGGAGUUUAGCUCAGUAGUGUAGCACUUGCCUAGCACGCAUAAAGCCCUAGGUGAUCCCCAGCGCUACAGAAUAAAAAAAGAUUUUUUGAUAAGGGAUUACUUUAAUUCUUGGCAUAUAAUUCCAAAGGAAUCAAAAGAAUUUGCUGUGACAAAUCUUUUUCCAUUCAAUCUUUGUAGUUUUUAAGUAAGGGAUUUUUUUUUUUUUUUUUUGGUACUGGGGGAUCGAACUUAGGUCUUUGCACUUGCGAGGCAGGCGGCGAAACCACUGAGCUAAAUCUCCGGCCCCCAAGUAGGUGAUUUUAACACUGUGUCUAUAAAAACUGAGAAUGGAGAUAGAGUUGAUAAGUCUUGUCUUAUUCUAGCAGUAGGUAACAUCCAUCUAUUAAUACAUGAAAUAACUUUUAAGAAAGGCCAAAAAAUAAAAAUAAAAAUAAAAUAAAAUAAAAUGUGUGCACUGGAUGAUCACUUGUCAGCCUAUCACUUGCUCAACUGUGGUCUCCAAACUCUUCUGAUCCAGGACAUCUGAGUAAGACAGAGGCUAGAUCAUGCCCCACCGCGACUGUCCCAGACACCUCUGGGAAUUUCUACACACAAACUCCAUCCUGUGCCACUUUGCUGACAGCUUUUUAAAUUUGGCAACCUAAUUCAAAGAAGGAAAUAGUUAAAUUACAACUGAGUCGAGGGGAAAAUGCACAGUGAGGUUUUCCAGCCAUUUAUGAGGGGAGGCAGUUGCCUCCUCAGUGUUUAUAAGUGGAGGAAGUUCCAAGGGCUCCAGGGAAAGUGCAGGAAACAUUUGCAAGAAAGGAAGGUAACAUUAUGGUGUUAAGCAGGGACACCACCCUUGGAGCAGCCAAAGUGACUCAGGGCUGAGCUGGAAUGCAGGGCACUGGUGGAAGCUGCUCAAGACAGAAUUUAGUCCAAUAUCAGGAAUAAGUCAGAGGAGCCCCAAAAUAAUGUAUGAUGUAUUAGCCUUUUAAUUCUUUUUCUUUCUUCCUCCCUCCCUCCUUCCCUUCCUUCUAUCCUUUCUUCUUUCUGUCCAUCACUCCAAGCCAUUAUCUAUUUUGUGGGGUGUGUGUGUGUGUGUGUGUGUGUGUGUGUGUGUGUGUUUGUGGAGAUGAGAUUAGCAAGAAAGUAGUUCUAAUGAUUUGUGCCUCAGUAUUGGGAAUGACCUUUCUUUAAUGUGAUUUUCUUUCAUUUGACUUUGUAUUAUUGUGCCUCUCAGCAUGCAAUCUGCGCUAAUGGCAUGCUCUGUAAGUGGACAGUCCAGGGCUGUUGGAUGUAUAAGAGACUUCUUCAGAAGUAAACACUUGCCACUCAGUAUCCACAAGACCCUUUACAGGGCCCCAUAGACCCUUGAUAGGGAUGCAUUUGAAGAGAUUUAGGUGUCAGCAAGGUACUUGGACUAGAUGUGGCUGUUCAACAAAUACGUAGUAAGCACAGUUCAGGUGCUGGAGAUUCAGUGGUGCGGAGAUGGGAACAGCCUUCACAGAACCAAAGACCAAGUAAGAUGGAUGUGAUGAGCAGGUCACUGCACUGGGAAAGUCCCAGGAAGGAAACGCACAGGAACCGCAGCUGCUUGAGACACAGGAGCUCACCAGGCUGAAGCACCUUCCUGUGGAAGAAGCACAUGGUGGCUUGAGGUCUGCAGGUGGGGGAGAGGAAUCUUUCCUAGGAUCCUUUCCUGGAUCCAGUUUCCUCACUUGUGUGCUCUCCUGUCAGGGAGCUGAUAGGGACUGGCUCUGAAGAAACACAAACCAUCUCCUGAGGCUAACCAUCAAGAAUUUUGUUUCUAUCAACUCAUAAUAGCUAAAGGUUGAGAGCAGCCUACAUAUCUAUCAAUAGAUGAAUGGACAAAAAAAAUGUGACAUUUACACACAAUGGAGUACUACUGUGUCAUAAGGAUACAUUUGAGUCAUUUGUAGGAAAAUGGAUGCACGUGGAAACUAUAAUGUUACGUGAAAUAAGUCAGACAUAUAAGUUUAAAUAUUGUAUAACUUCUCAUAUAAGAAACCCAAAGUAUAGACAAUUUUAAGAAAACAAAAUAAAACAUAGACAAUAGGAAACAGGGAGAUAGAUCUUUUACAACUGGGAAAGGGAUCCAGAGAUGGAAGGAAUAAAGAGGGAGGGGAACGAAGGACAAUAAAAAGAAUUAAGAUAUGUUAAGUACAUAUACGUACCUCCUAAGAUGAGUGUAAAUGUCAUUUACUGCAAUAUGUACUAAUAAAAUUUUUUUUAAAAAGAA
This is a long non-coding RNA of Heterocephalus glaber (naked mole-rat), 4748 nucleotides long. The record is from Ensembl. NCBI's taxonomy places the organism in Eukaryota, Metazoa, Chordata, Mammalia, Rodentia, Bathyergidae.